CUUCCCGUAAGGGGAACCUGCGGAAGGAUCAUUAGUGAAUAUAGGACGUCCAACUUAACUUGGAGUCCGAACUCUCACUUUCUAACCCUGUGCACUUGUUUGGGAUAGUAACUCUCGCAAGAGAGCGAACUCCUAUUCACUUAUAAACACAAAGUCUAUGAAUGUAUUAAAUUUUAUAACAAAAUAAAACUUUCAACAACGGAUCUCUUGGCUCUCGCAUCGAUGAAGAACGCAGCGAAAUGCGAUAAGUAAUGUGAAUUGCAGAAUUCAGUGAAUCAUCGAAUCUUUGAACGCACCUUGCGCUCCAUGGUAUUCCGUGGAGCAUGCCUGUUUGAGUGUCAUGAAUACUUCAACCCUCCUCUUUCUUAAUGAUUGAAGAGGUGUUUGGUUUCUGAGCGCUGCUGGCCUUUACGGUCUAGCUCGUUCGUAAUGCAUUAGCAUCCGCAAUCGAACUUCGGAUUGACUUGGCGUAAUAGACUAUUCGCUGAGGAAUUCUAGUCUUCGGACUAGAGCCGGGUUGGGUUAAAGGAAGCUUCUAAUCAGAAUGUCUACAUUUUAAGAUUAGAUCUCAAAUCAGGUAGGACUACCCGCUGAACUUAAGCAUAUCAAUAAGCCGGAGGAAA
RNAcentral lists this ribosomal RNA (623 nucleotides) under Rhodotorula mucilaginosa. RNAcentral's name for it is "eukaryotic LSU rRNA". The stretch from base 188 to 341 matches the Rfam family "5.8S ribosomal RNA". The record is from RNAcentral. Lineage: Eukaryota; Fungi; Basidiomycota; Microbotryomycetes; Sporidiobolales; Sporidiobolaceae.